UGAAGCACUGUCGAUGGCUGCCAGUGUUGCAAUCUGGCAUAAGCCCGGCUGGGCAAAGGUUUCUGCAGGAAUAGCCUGGUCAACAAGAAGAGUUCAUCGAUAUCGUGGCAUACUAUUUUUAACUGGUAAUCUUACACCUAUUAUUUCCUUAUGACUGAAAUUAACCAUUUUUGCCGACUUGAAAGAAUCAUGUGGCAGUGCUGUAGAAUUUUUUUUUUUCUCAAAAUUAAUCUUUAUGUGAUCUCCAAGCUCUUAAUCUUCUGUGGUAUGUACGUGCUGUGCAUAUACUGAGAAGCUAGAAUAUAAUGCGAAGAUUUCUCUGUGUAAUCUCUAAGCUUUGUGUUUCUUUCUGAUAUGGUACAAGGGGAUCUAACAAGAUCCUGGAACAUAUAAAUAGGUACCUGACUAGGUGGAGAGAUGAACACGAGCGAAGCAGCAAGACAAGAGAUUAGCUGCUUGGAUACUACUCCAUAUUUGUUCAGUGGCGUUUCCUCAUUCAGAGAGCAUCUGACAAUUUUCUGCCUGGUG
This 528-nucleotide long non-coding RNA is filed under the name Setaria italica (foxtail millet). RNAcentral describes it as "long non-coding RNA (SITA_LNC005449)". Lineage: Eukaryota; Viridiplantae; Streptophyta; Magnoliopsida; Poales; Poaceae. The record is from RNAcentral.